Molecule: long non-coding RNA, 619 nt
Organism: Cucumis melo (muskmelon)
Lineage: Eukaryota; Viridiplantae; Streptophyta; Magnoliopsida; Cucurbitales; Cucurbitaceae
Exons: 3
Source: RefSeq, a predicted model, not a curated record
UUUUCUUUCCCUUCAAUCGAUCCAUCCUCUUCGGCAUUAACGUUAUUCCUUUUCCUCCUUCUUCUCCAUACUUGAACCGGUAAGGUUCUGAUCUACUCAUUCACCACUCUUUUUAGAGUUGGUCGACACCCAUAUCGACCUAUUUUCAUUACCUCUUCGCUAUUUAACCAAGAUCUGAAAUGGGUUUUCGACGCACAUGAUUGUUUUUCAGCUUUAUUCCGUUUUCUUACUUAAUUGAUUCGAGCAUGGCUUUUUUCUUCAAUUUGCUGCUCGGAUCUGAAAGGAUUUUUGUUUGUGUAAUGCCUUGCCGCUCGAAUUAGCCAUUGACACUCUGAUUUCGAUCGUUCGAUGAGUUCUUGAUACUACACGGUCGUUUACUUGGUUGACUCGAGAAUGGUAAAGUAGAGGUUAUAACAAUUUCCUAUCUGUCAUGGCUAUGCGAUGGUAGGUCUACUAGCAAAGUGCGUGCGAGUAUCUAACAAGACAUAAAUUCACCUUCUACGGUCCCUACGUAGUCCUGCAUAAAAAAAAGGUCCUUAACGUGCAUUUAUGUCGUUUGUUUGUUUUAUUUGCUAAGUUUAAGUACAUUUGUAAUUAUAAAUACAUAGUUACGCUGGCA